Molecule: ribosomal RNA, 422 nt
Filed under: uncultured bacterium
Lineage: Bacteria
Description: bacterial SSU rRNA
Rfam family: Bacterial small subunit ribosomal RNA
Source: RNAcentral
UAUUGGACAAUGGGCGAAAGCCUGAUCCAGCCAUGCCGCGUGUGUGAAGAAGGUCUUCGGAUUGUAAAGCACUUUAAGUUGGGAGGAAGGGCAUUUACCUAAUACGUAAGUGUUUUGACGUUACCGACAGAAUAAGCACCGGCUAACCCUGUGCCAGCAGCCGCGGUAAUACAGAGGGUGCAAGCGUUAAUCGGAAUUACUGGGCGUAAAGCGCGCGUAGGUGGCUUGUUAAGUUGGAUGUGAAAUCCCCGGGCUCAACCUGGGAACUGCAUUCAAAACUGACAAGCUAGAGUAUGGUAGAGGGUGGUGGAAUUUCCCGUGUAGCGGUGAAAUGCGUAGAUAUAGGAAGGAACACCAGUGGCGAAGGCGACCACCUGGACUGAUACUGACACUGAGGUGCGAAAGCGUGGGGGGCAAACAGG